RNAcentral lists this ribosomal RNA (1495 nucleotides) under Lacticaseibacillus rhamnosus. RNAcentral describes it as "16S ribosomal RNA". It matches the Rfam family "Bacterial small subunit ribosomal RNA". Lineage: Bacteria; Bacillati; Bacillota; Bacilli; Lactobacillales; Lactobacillaceae. The record is from RNAcentral.
GAUGAACGCUGGCGGCGUGCCUAAUACAUGCAAGUCGAACGAGUUCUGAUUAUUGAAAGGUGCUUGCAUCUUGAUUUAAUUUUGAACGAGUGGCGGACGGGUGAGUAACACGUGGGUAACCUGCCCUUAAGUGGGGGAUAACAUUUGGAAACAGAUGCUAAUACCGCAUAAAUCCAAGAACCGCAUGGUUCUUGGCUGAAAGAUGGCGUAAGCUAUCGCUUUUGGAUGGACCCGCGGCGUAUUAGCUAGUUGGUGAGGUAACGGCUCACCAAGGCAAUGAUACGUAGCCGAACUGAGAGGUUGAUCGGCCACAUUGGGACUGAGACACGGCCCAAACUCCUACGGGAGGCAGCAGUAGGGAAUCUUCCACAAUGGACGCAAGUCUGAUGGAGCAACGCCGCGUGAGUGAAGAAGGCUUUCGGGUCGUAAAACUCUGUUGUUGGAGAAGAAUGGUCGGCAGAGUAACUGUUGUCGGCGUGACGGUAUCCAACCAGAAAGCCACGGCUAACUACGUGCCAGCAGCCGCGGUAAUACGUAGGUGGCAAGCGUUAUCCGGAUUUAUUGGGCGUAAAGCGAGCGCAGGCGGUUUUUUAAGUCUGAUGUGAAAGCCCUCGGCUUAACCGAGGAAGUGCAUCGGAAACUGGGAAACUUGAGUGCAGAAGAGGACAGUGGAACUCCAUGUGUAGCGGUGAAAUGCGUAGAUAUAUGGAAGAACACCAGUGGCGAAGGCGGCUGUCUGGUCUGUAACUGACGCUGAGGCUCGAAAGCAUGGGUAGCGAACAGGAUUAGAUACCCUGGUAGUCCAUGCCGUAAACGAUGAAUGCUAGGUGUUGGAGGGUUUCCGCCCUUCAGUGCCGCAGCUAACGCAUUAAGCAUUCCGCCUGGGGAGUACGACCGCAAGGUUGAAACUCAAAGGAAUUGACGGGGGCCCGCACAAGCGGUGGAGCAUGUGGUUUAAUUCGAAGCAACGCGAAGAACCUUACCAGGUCUUGACAUCUUUUGAUCACCUGAGAGAUCAGGUUUCCCCUUCGGGGGCAAAAUGACAGGUGGUGCAUGGUUGUCGUCAGCUCGUGUCGUGAGAUGUUGGGUUAAGUCCCGCAACGAGCGCAACCCUUAUGACUAGUUGCCAGCAUUUAGUUGGGCACUCUAGUAAGACUGCCGGUGACAAACCGGAGGAAGGUGGGGAUGACGUCAAAUCAUCAUGCCCCUUAUGACCUGGGCUACACACGUGCUACAAUGGAUGGUACAACGAGUUGCGAGACCGCGAGGUCAAGCUAAUCUCUUAAAGCCAUUCUCAGUUCGGACUGUAGGCUGCAACUCGCCUACACGAAGUCGGAAUCGCUAGUAAUCGCGGAUCAGCACGCCGCGGUGAAUACGUUCCCGGGCCUUGUACACACCGCCCGUCACACCAUGAGAGUUUGUAACACCCGAAGCCGGUGGCGUAACCCUUUUAGGGAGCGAGCCGUCUAAGGUGGGACAAAUGAUUAGGGUGAAG